RNAcentral lists this transfer RNA (59 nucleotides) under Pseudoroegneria stipifolia. Its description in RNAcentral is "Elymus stipifolius partial tRNA-Tyr". It matches the Rfam family "tRNA", at positions 22 to 71 of the family's 71-position model. Rfam says of the family: Transfer RNA (tRNA) molecules are approximately 80 nucleotides in length. Their secondary structure includes four short double-helical elements and three loops (D, anti-codon, and T loops). Further hydrogen bonds mediate the characteristic L-shaped molecular structure. tRNAs have two regions of fundamental functional importance: the anti-codon, which is responsible for specific mRNA codon recognition, and the 3' end, to which the tRNAs corresponding amino acid is attached (by aminoacyl-tRNA synthetases). tRNAs cope with the degeneracy of the genetic code in two manners: having more than one tRNA (with a specific anti-codon) for a particular amino acid; and 'wobble' base-pairing, i.e. permitting non-standard base-pairing at the 3rd anti-codon position. Lineage: Eukaryota; Viridiplantae; Streptophyta; Magnoliopsida; Poales; Poaceae. The record is from RNAcentral.
GGGGACGGACUGUAAAUUCGUUGACAAUGUCUACGCUGGUUCAAAUCCAGCUCGGCCCA